RNAcentral lists this unclassified non-coding RNA (457 nucleotides) under Artemisia sp. H AH-2018. Its description in RNAcentral is "partial external transcribed spacer". The stretch from base 392 to 457 matches the Rfam family "Eukaryotic small subunit ribosomal RNA", at positions 1 to 65 of the family's 1831-position model. The record is from RNAcentral. Lineage: Eukaryota; Viridiplantae; Streptophyta; Magnoliopsida; Asterales; Asteraceae.
UGUGGUUGGCUGCGGCGUUUGCACRACUUCCAUGCUUUCAGACCUCUUCAGGUGUGCGGCAAGGCUUGUAUCGCCUUGAGCGUGCUGUGGGUUUUCUGUGUUGGCUACCUAAUCAAUGGUAUCGGUUGGAUUGAUCAAAGUUUGAUUUCGUCUUYCGUCGCAUUCGCGGCGUGAGGUGAACCCUGAUGCGGUCUCUUUGAUCCACCUCGUCGAAGCACAUGCUUCGACGUUGUGGCACAUUGAGCAUUGCUUGGUCUCUUGUAUACGGAACAUAUAGUGGGCAUGGAUCUAACGAUUCUCAUUUGCCCUCAUGUUAGCGUAACGCUUCUCAAACACGACUUGCGCCACGUUUUAGCUCGUACGGACGUGGUGCUAUGUCGAAGAGGAAUGCUACCUGGUUGAUCCUGCACAGUAGUCAUAUGCUUGUCUCAAAGAUUAAGCCAUGCAUGUGUAAGUA